GUGACCUUGCCUCAGGGUGUGGCCGAGGUCAACUGUGCAACUGUCCUAGGUAGCUUAAACUGAGGAGGAAAUAUUUUCCCAGUGUUGGGAGCCGGACUCAGGUGGGGGUGAGGUUUGCCAAAUCUAGUACAGUUCCAGGCAUCAUUUUAGGGCAGAAUAUUCGUUUCCCUAAGCAAGGCUCCCACUUCAGGUAACCCUGGAAGAGCAUCUGAAAGUAGGUAGGGACUGAGGACAGGCCCUGGGCAGGGGAUUGGGAGUAAAUGGUCUUCUGACUAGAGCCUCUGCCUAGCUCUCCAAAGUCUCAGAUAAGUAAAUCCUAAAUUCAUUCAUUUACUGUUGCAAAUGGUUCCUUUACUCUACGGUGACAGCAGAGGGCAGCAUCACAACAGACAAGAGGGACACUCUGAAGAAGUAUAAAUAGACUUUCCUUAGAGUUCAUUCAUUGUACUGGGAGCAGGAGAGGGAUGACAAGGGUCUACAAAACAUUCUUGAAGCUGAAUUCACUUCCCUUUCCAGGACACUGGACUAAAAACUGUUGCUCAAACCAUUGCUUCAUUGAGAGUUAGAAAAACAUUUCCCCCAGGAAUUUGGGAAGCAAUACCCAGCCAUAGCAGGAUGUUCCCUCCUAGACACUCCAACUAGCUUGUGGGCCGGAACUUCUGCCUACUGAGGGCUUUAGUGCCCCGAUGGUGGCUCCUCAUUAGAGGCUCCCCCUGUCUGGGAACUAGAUUAACUUUAGAAACUGGGGAGAUGGCUCAGCUGAUAAAAUGUCUUCCAUGUAAGCAUUUGGAGCUGAUUCUGAUCCCCAGGACCCAGGCAAAAUGGCUAGAUAUGGUGGUGUAUACAUGAAAUCCCAGUGGAGAGGUAGAGAUAAGUAGAUGUGUGGGGAUCACUGGACAGGAAGCCUAGUCUAACGGUUAGUACCAGGCCAAAUACAAAACACUAUCUCAAGAAACAUGAUGAAUGGCAUGAGGAACAAAACCCAAGUCUGGCCUCUGAACUCCACAAUCUCCACAACCAGGCACAUAUGUGUAUAUGUACAUGUGUGUGCGCAUACACACACACACACACACACACACACACACACACACACACACACACACACCAACAACAACAACAAACAUAGUAGGAAAGCAAAAGGGAUAACCUCAUGCAUAAACUUCCUCAGAUGCCCACUUUUAAGAGAUGAGCAUAGAGCUGGAAGGUACAGGAGCCAAAAGUCAAGGUUGGGAACCAGGCCCGAAAGUAAACAUGAGGUUGGGCUUUUGGGAAAUGGAGGCACACACGGGUCCCUGCUUUUCUUUUGACUUUCUUUCUUUGCUGUGCAUCUUUAGUGGCCCCACUCCUUGCCCCUUUUUGCUGGGCAUUAAAGCUAGGAUCUUCCACAUUCCAAACACUACUGCAGAGACACAUCUCCAGCUGCAGAGUUCUGUUCUGACUUGUGUCUCACACGGGGUGUUUCACCAGUGUUUGAAAAAAGUUCUCCCCUUGCUUCUGAGAGUUGUCUCUUCUACAGUGAUGGAAGGCAGAGUCAUAGUCAACACUCAGAUGCCCUGUUCCUUCAGCUUUCUCUUGGGCACCAUCAUUGGGCAACUGGAGACAGCAAGCAGGCUGGGUGUGGAGGCAGAGAUAACAAUGAUCAAAAACCUACUAUGUGCCAGGUACCAUUAUAAACACACUAUUGAUUGACUCAGACGUCUUCACAAGAGCGAUAGAGGCAGGUGUUGUUAUUAGCUCCCUCUUACUGAUAAAGGAAUUGAAUUCCAGACAGGCUAGGCAAUAUGUUAAGAUCCCACAGCUAUUAAGUGGCAGUUGGGCAUAGAUACCAGCAGCCAGGUUCCACUAUGCCAUCUGAACUCCAGUUCAUUUUUCUCUACUUCCCAUUAAAAGAUAAUUGAACACUCUAAGGAGAAAGGUUCCAUCUUCUAUGGAUACAAUAUUCACAGUGGUCCCAGGAGGAAGGAGCAAAAUAAAAGGCUCUCAGGCCAGGAAAAUUCCUCUUUAAAGCAGAGUGGUAAGACAUAAAUCAUAAGCCUACAACAUAAGGGCAUAGCAGUGAAUCAGACAGAAGCAAUUCAACUGGACUUUCAGUAGAAAUCUCACUUUUAAAAGGUAAAACAAAAGCCAGGCAGUGUUGGCGCACGCCUUUAAUCCCAGCACUUGGGAGGCAGAGGCAGGCGGAUCUCUGUGAGUUCGAGACCAACCUGGUCUACAAGAGCUAGUUCCAGGACAGCCUCCAAAGCUACACAGAGAAACCCUGUCUCAACACCCCCCCCCCAAAAAAAAGGCAAGACAAGAAGCGAGGGAGCUACUUGGAGUGGAAUAUGGAAAAAAAUGAUCAAAGUGGGAGGGGUAAUUCAUUUCAUCUUACCUUGAGAGAAAUACUGGAGCUUUGAAAAGCUAAAGUCAAAGAUAGGCAGAAGCUAUAGUGAGCUAAAGUCAUAGAUAGGCAGAAGGUGAAAUAAAAUGAGUUCAUGUAGGAACUUUCUGGUCAGAGCAAGGCAAAGACAACACAUUGGGAAGGAUAAAUGCUCUCAAUGUCUUUACCCUAGCACUCCAAGUGGCAAGCCAGGACAUGCUGGCAGGUCAACAGCCUAGAAAAUAACACAGGGCCCUGCUACCUCCUGCAUAAAGUUCCCAGCUGGGCCUUACUCUUGAAUGCAAAUGGUCCAGCGAACUGAGGCUUAGAACAACUUUAGGGGCUUUCUUUUAUGUCAUUUGGAGUAGCCAAGUCAAUCUUGCCUUCUUUAGGUAAGGUUUUACUACAACCUCCUUUGUAGUCCUUAUGACUUAAGAAAUCCAAGUAGAGCUGGGCAGUGGUAGUGCACGCUUUUGAUCCCAGCACUCAGGAGGCAGAGGCAGGCAGAUCUCAGUGAGUUAAAGACCAGCUUGGUGUACAGAGUGAGUUCCAGGACUAUUACACAGAGAAUCCCUGUCUCUGGGAAAAAAGAAAGAAAAAAAUCCAAGUAGGGGAAAGACACAGAAGGACUCAGGGCCAUAGCCAGUCCGAAUGGGACUAGCAUGACAAACGCCAUUUAAUUCCUUCCUAUGCAGUUCCCUUUCCACUUCCCCUCUCCACCUGUUCUCUUCUCUUUUUGUCACUCUUCUCCCCUCCUUCUUCUCUCUCUCUCUCUCUCUCUCUCUCUCUCUCUCUCUCUCACACACACACACACACACACACACACACACAGUGUUGUCACUGUGCUGGCUUAGUAAUAUCCAAAGCAUUCUUAGUGUCCUCCUUUGCAAAUUAAUCCUAGUUCUCUAAGGUACUUUGGGAGAGACAAGCAUAAUUUUGUUUGAUGAUUUGUCCUUAACAGAUAUCACUCUCAUAGAAGGCAACAUGGUAGAGUCAGGCCUGGAUUCAAAUUCCAAUUCUGUCACAUAAUAAGGAGCUCAUCUGAGUGUUUGAUCUGCAAGAAGGGAAGGUUUCCUCCUACAUAAGGUGUUGGAGAGAGUCAGACAAUAUCAUGCAAAACCUUGUAUACAGGAUGCAUUUGACUUUUGCAACUAUGCUUUUGCACAGAGGCCAAGAAUCACUUGAACUGCAGCUAGAAAAUCAGAGCCUUAUUUCAAAGGCUCACUUCUUCACCAGUCGAAUCCAUCCAGUCCACCACUUCGCCAUUACUGAUCCCUGAGGAGAAACACCAGAGGAGGCUGAACAGAGUCCUACCACUAGCCCAUCAGGGAGGAUGGGUUAUAUAGUGAAGAAGGUCAGCCCAGAAACAACAAUGUACAGUGAAGACAGAAUGCUGUGGACAGCAAGCUGGCAAGCUGAGUCUACAAAUACUUGUGCCCCAGAGAUAAUCAGGAGACUGAAGGUUGAUGAAAUGGGACUUGAAAUGGCAUAAUGUCAAUUGGGGCUUAUUUUUAGUGGCUUUUUCAGAGCUCUGGUGUCUGACACCCCAUGCGAGAACUGCUACCCUUCUGUCAUUAGCAAUUUAACUUAAUUUUUUAGAGAAUAGUUUAUUGCAUAUACAGUAAAAAGGCAAUGGACUGGUUAAUAACUAGAGUACACAUAAGGCCUUAACAUUUUUCAAAUUCUCUCUUUUUAUGUUAUUAGAGACAGGAUUUCACACUGGAAUCCUGGCUGACCUUGAACUUGUGGCAAUCUUCCUGCCUCUGCCUGCCAAGUGCUGAGUCCAGAGGCAUGCAUAACCAUGCCCAAGCUCUGAAUACUUUUUUCUAUAGCUGUAAAUACUGGGACCAAAGUUAGGAUUAUGUGAUCUUACUCCUUACUUUUUUGUAUAGUAAUUCAUUCAUUCAAUGAACAUUUCCUGAGUGCCUACCCUAUGCCAGUUUGUGGAAGCAGUGAUGAACACACCAAAAAAUGUCCCUGCCCUUAGGCAGCUUACAUGUGAAUAGGAAAGACAAUCAUAAAGUCUCAAUGUAGGAUGUAACCUGGCAUAUUUGGAGAGCAAAGUAAGAAUUACGGUGAUUGGAACACAAUGAGUGAGUGAGAAAAUGAUACAGGAAGAAUAAGAAAGGAAGAGUCCAGAUUACGUGAGGUCUGCAGACUUAAUAAGAAUUCCUGAGGUGGGUGAAAGCUACCAAAUUAUUUUACACAGGGAGCCGACAUGAAGUAGCUUACAUGUGCAAAAAUAUUAGAGAUGUUUUCUGCUAGUUAUUCAUAUAUAGUUAUUAAUCGAGACCAAAAGAAUGAAUCUAGCAAAUAUGUCCAAGCAGAGCUGCAUGGAGCUGAGGAUAGCUAUGAAUGUGGCCCAACACAAAAUAAUAACUAAUUAAAACAAUGAAGUUCUUUUUA
Non-coding RNA from Cricetulus griseus (Chinese hamster), 4765 nucleotides. The record is from RefSeq and is a predicted model, not a curated record. Lineage: Eukaryota; Metazoa; Chordata; Mammalia; Rodentia; Cricetidae.